UAUCACAUGUCACGUGAUCGGUGUAUAAACUUCCGGGUUGGUUAUGCAGCGAAGUGACAGUGAUCUACGGCGGUCGACAGGAUGACACGACUGUCCCAAUACUCCGAGGCUUUCUGGGGCACGCACUUCACCAGUACUGCUGGGUUUGAGGCACUAGCACUGCGGAUGAAAGAUGGCCGCCAUAUGUGUAAAGAAUUUGAAGAAUACCUGAAACAAAGGUACGAGGCAGAGAACAGGUACUCGAAAGACUUGCAUAAACUGGAGAGAAACAUGAAGCUGAAAGAUGACAUAGGAGUUCUGGAGAAGUCCUGGAACAAGCUGAAGGAGGAGAUGGAGAAGAUGGUGCAGAUCCACCAGGAUGCAGCUGCCAACUUUCUGAAGCAGAUGGACGACGUCAAGAAGUUCAACGAGGCCCAGACUACAAAAAAGAAAGCUAUGGAAGAAACUGUGAAAAAGUAUCAGAGCAACAAGAACAGCUUGUAUUCACGAUGUAUGAAUAAUCAUAAAAAUUACAAAGACAAGUGUCGAGAGAAGGACAGUGCGUCAGACAACUACAACCUUCAGCGGUCCACUGUCACAACUCAAACCAAGGACCUGGAGAAGGCAAACAAGGCAAAGGCAAGGGCAGAAGAUGAGGCUGUUAAAGCAGAAACAGCAUACAAGAGUUCCUUGGAUGCCCUGGAAAGUGCACGGGAUCUUUGGGAAAAGGAGAUGCAAGCAGCUUGUGAUGUGUUUCAGAAUUUGGAUCAUGAAAGAAUCAAAUUCCUGCGAGAAAAUCUUUGGGUUUCUCUCAACGUUGAUUCCCAGGUUGCCGUGGAGAUUGAUGACUGUUGUGAGUCAGUCCGCCGAGUGUUGGAGAAUUGUUCAAUGGAGAAUGACAUAUGUACAUUUAUUGAGAAAUACCAGACAGGCACUGAAAGGCCAGCAUGUAUCGUGUUUGAGGACUACUACGCUAAUACAGAUACUAUGGGACGUAGAGGCCAAAGGUCAGGGGGGUCAGAGGUCACAGCCACCGAGAAGCAAUGGUAUCACAAUGUCAGAUAACACAUAUGCAACAGUGGAUGAAGCUGGUGAAAAUAUGAUGACCAAUAGCAGCACAUUUUACUAUAACCAGCGAAUGUGAUGCCUUGUGAGCUGACAGUGGAGGUUGGACAGAAAGUCCACUUUGUGCGACAGAUGACAAAUGGAGUACAAGUUCGUCUUGCGGAAUCUAACAAAUUUGGUAUAAUUCCCAACAGCUGUGUCAAACUAUGACCAUGGA
Molecule: unclassified non-coding RNA, 1261 nt
Filed under: Haliotis rubra (blacklip abalone)
Lineage: Eukaryota; Metazoa; Mollusca; Gastropoda; Lepetellida; Haliotidae
Description: proline-serine-threonine phosphatase-interacting protein 1-like, transcript variant X1
Source: RNAcentral